AGCAGUAGCCGCGGUAAUACGAAGGGUGCAAGCGUUACUCGGAAUCACUGGGCGUAAAGCGUGUGUAGGUGGUUGUUUAAGUCUGUCGUGAAAGCCCUGGGCUCAACCUGGGAAUUGCGAUGGAUACUGGGCGACUAGAGUGCGGUAGAGGAUAGUGGAAUUUCCGGUGUAGCAGUGAAAUGCGUAGAGAUCGGAAGGAACAUCUGUGGCGAAGGCGACUAUCUGGGCCAACACUGACACUGAGACACGAAAGCGUGGGGAGCAAACAGGAUUAGAUAUCCGCGUAGUCCCUGUCUCUUAUAC
Molecule: ribosomal RNA, 303 nt
Filed under: uncultured bacterium
Lineage: Bacteria
Description: partial 16S ribosomal RNA
Rfam family: Bacterial small subunit ribosomal RNA
Source: RNAcentral